UGGCACUCAGUGUCGAAGCUAACGCGUUAAGUUCGCCGCCUGGGGAGUACGGUCGCAAGACUGAAACUCAAAGGAAUUGACGGGGGCCCGCACAAGCGGUGGAGUAUGUGGUUUAAUUCGAUGCAACGCGAAGAACCUUACCUGGUCUUGACAUGUCCGGAAUCCUGCAGAGAUGCGGGAGUGCCUUCGGGAAUCGGAACACAGGUGCUGCAUGGCUGUCGUCAGCUCGUGUCGUGAGAUGUUGGGUUAAGUCCCGCAACGAGCGCAACCCUUGUCCUUAGUUGCCAGCACGUAAUGGUGGGAACUCUAAGGAGACUGCCGGUGACAAACCGGAGGAAGGUGGGGAUGACGUCAAGUCACCAUGGCCCUUACGACCCAGGGCUACACACGUACUACAAUGGGGGGUACAGAGGGUUGCGAAGCCGCGAGGUGAAGCCAAUCCCAGAAAACCCCUCUCAGUCCGGAUCGUAGUCUGCAACUCGACUACGUGAAGUCGGAAUCGCUAGUAAUCGCGAAUCAGCAUUGUCGCGGUGAAUACGUUNCCCGGGCCUUGUACACACCGCCCGUCACANCCAUGGGAGUUGGUUGCUCCAGAAGCAGGUAGUCUAACCGUAAGGGGGACGCUUGCCACGGAGUGGUCAAUGACUGGGGUGAAGUCGUAACCAAGGUACC
This 672-nucleotide ribosomal RNA is filed under the name uncultured bacterium. RNAcentral describes it as "bacterial SSU rRNA". It matches the Rfam family "Bacterial small subunit ribosomal RNA", at positions 834 to 1500 of the family's 1533-position model. The record is from RNAcentral.